This 477-nucleotide long non-coding RNA is filed under the name Serinus canaria (Common canary). RNAcentral describes it as "lncRNA (ENSSCAG00000007779.1)". The record is from RNAcentral. Lineage: Eukaryota; Metazoa; Chordata; Aves; Passeriformes; Fringillidae.
AGAAGAUAAAAUCUGCACUUCAGCAUUACAAGUGAAGAGAAUGGUGGUGUGACUUGCCCAGGCCACCCCAUGAGUAGGCGGCAGAGACAUCAGGAGAUCCUGGACCUCUGUUUCCCAUUCCAGCAGAGGAACGAGUGGAUCCUGCAGGGAAGAGCCAAGUACUGACUUGAAAGAGAGGACUUGGCCUUACUUGGACAUCUUCCCAACCUCUGGAACACCUCCGGUUGUGACAAAGAAAUGCUCAUGACAGUAUCUCCAUGCUAAGCAAUCACGAGGUGACACCCAAGAAGAGCCCUUUGUCUAGUGCUAGAAAGGGAUGCUCAGCCCCCGUUGCUACUUCUGAAGUUAACAGUCCGCCCUGGAAAGCUUCAGACCUGACCCUCCAGGUUGGCUCCACAACGUAUUCUUCUAUGGAUGUCAACAGUACUGGAUCAGGACCCAGGUUGUCAUGAGACCACCUCAAAGAGCCUGUGAUCU